CCUACGGGGGGCAGCAGUGAGGAAUAUUGGUCAAUGGGCGGGAGCCUGAACCAGCCAAGUCGCGUGAGGGACGACGGUCCUAUGGAUUGUAAACCUCUUUUGUCGGGGAACAAAGGCGCCCACGGGUGGGCGGAUGAGUGUACCCGAAGAAAAAGCAUCGGCUAACUCCGUGCCAGCAGCCGCGGUAAUACGGAGGAUCCGAGCGUUAUCCGGAUUUAUUGGGUUUAAAGGGUGCGUAGGCGGUUUGAUAAGUUAGAGGUGAAAUGUCGGGGCUCAACCCCGAAACUGCCUCUAAUACUGUUGGA
Molecule: ribosomal RNA, 305 nt
Filed under: uncultured bacterium
Lineage: Bacteria
Description: bacterial SSU rRNA
Rfam family: Bacterial small subunit ribosomal RNA
Source: RNAcentral